This is a long non-coding RNA of Aedes aegypti (yellow fever mosquito), 1391 nucleotides long. RefSeq lists it as uncharacterized. The transcript is spliced from 2 exons. The record is from RefSeq and is a predicted model, not a curated record. Lineage: Eukaryota; Metazoa; Arthropoda; Insecta; Diptera; Culicidae.
ACCCUCAGCAUGGUCAUGCUGAAUAGCUGCGCGUUUACCGCUACGGCUAUCUGGGUCGGAAGAAGAUGAGGAUCGCAUAUCGGAUUAUAUAGUCCGGUCAGCUGAAUCUGGCUUCCCCAUCGGCACAAGCCGCUUAAGAAUAUCGGAAGAAAUUGGAUUCAGUUUGGAUUUGGAGUUUGGACUCACCGACAUCCGGAUAUUUAGAGACGGAUCCCGAUCUAAACAGCAAAGAAAGCGAUCAGGUCCGCUAGGUCCGCUAAAAAGGCCUGGAGAAGGAGAAUUGCUAAUCCAGCUUUUUACGCUAGCUAUAAAACGACAGGGGGUGAUUAGAUUUUGCCAUUUAUUUGCUACUGAUUUUAUAGUUUGGUCUAAGUAGGCUGUAAUUUGAGAUUGUUGAUUCGACUGUCAAUAAUUUUCACUCGUGCUUCCACAGCAUUUGUUUUGCAGCUAAGUUUCAUUCGAAUAUAAAUUCUUGAAAAUUCACCAUUUAUUAACAACUAUUAUUGUACAAUUUUAGGCAUAAUCAAAAAUCCUGAAGCUUGUAGAAAGAUCAAAUAUGGCAGAGCCAAAGGCACAAUAUUCUACCAAUAGAGACAGUGUUGUUUCAUCGUUAUGUCUAUUUGCCAUCUCGACUUUUUUGCUACCACGGACAGCUGUCUUGAUAUAACUAAAAAAAAUCGCAUUCAAACCACAAGACUUGCAAAUUAAAUUGUAAGAAAAAACAUAGAAAAAAUCGUAAAUACACAAUCCAGGUGGUCAAAACCUGGUCUAUCUCAAUUUACACCUAUAUUAUAAGCAGCGACACACAUUGGUUAUUCUUAUAUUACGUGUCUUUUACCACGUCAAAUUCGAUGAUUUCCGGGCAUAGGCCUUUUCAUAUGCUUUUCCUUUUGCAUUUCCAUUUGCGUUGCACAGAAAUGUGAUUGUUCGUAUGUUGAGUACAAGGAAAUACGCAAACGAUGGUACGGAACCAAGCGGGAAAUAUCUCAGUAAUAGCAGCUUAAUAGGUAUCAGACUGUUAAAUUUAUUAUUAAAUUAUUAGAAUAAAAUAGUAUUCCCGAUUGGGGCUUACCGAGGAAUUGUUCAGGUUAGGAUGUAGAAAGAUGAGGAAAGGUGUUAUAAAUUGCAUUGCUAACAGGACCGCUUAUUAUUGCGAAAUCGCAUAUAAAAGUGCGAGAUAACGUCGGAUCGGUCAUCGGAUCCGGAGUCAUAAUACGUCAAUUGGAUCCGGGUUCAUUAUAUGUCUCAGUGAACAAACCAACUUAACAUUUCGAGCGCAUUAGUUCGAAAAAAAAAUGCUGUCAGGAGUCGUCACGGCCGCGUUUAUUUAUUAAUUUCAGUAAACACGAUUAAGCACUCUUUUCACAGGCACAAUUACAACCAAAACCCUU